AACGUAGGAGGCGAGCGUUAUCCGGAGUUACUGGGCGUAAAGCGCAUGUAGGCGGUUGGGCAAGUUGAGUGUGAAAGCUCCCGGCUAAACUGGGAGAGGACAUUUGAGACUGCUCGGCUAGAGGACGGUAGAGGGGCGUAGAAUUCCGGGUGUAGCGGUGAAAUGUGUAGAGAUCCGGAGGAAUACCAGUGGCGCAAGCGGCGCCCUGGGCCGUACCUGACGCUGAGAUGCGAAAGCGUGGGGAGCGAACGGGAUUAGAAACCCCCGUAGUCC
RNAcentral lists this ribosomal RNA (273 nucleotides) under uncultured bacterium. Its description in RNAcentral is "partial 16S ribosomal RNA". It matches the Rfam family "Bacterial small subunit ribosomal RNA", at positions 524 to 796 of the family's 1533-position model. The record is from RNAcentral.